UCAGAACGAACGCUGGCGGCAGGCCUAACACAUGCAAGUCGAGCGCACCUUCGGGUGAGCGGCGGACGGGUUAGUAACGCGUGGGAAUAUACCCUUCUCUACGGAAUAGCCUCGGGAAACUGAGAGUAAUACCGUAUACGCCCUUCGGGGGAAAGAUUUAUCGGAGAUGGAUUAGCCCGCGUUGGAUUAGGUAGUUGGUGGGGUAAUGGCUCACCAAGCCGACGAUCCAUAGCUGGUUUGAGAGGAUGAUCAGCAACACUGGGACUGAGACACGGCCCAGACUCCUACGGGAGGCAGCAGUGGGGAAUCUUAGACAAUGGGGGAAACCCUGAUCUAGCCAUGCCGCGUGAGUGACGAAGGCCUUAGGGUCGUAAAGCUCUUUCGCCAGGGAAGAUAAUGACGGUACCUGGUAAAGAAACCCCGGCUAACUCCGUGCCAGCAGCCGCGGUAAUACGGAGGGGGUUAGCGUUGUUCGGAAUUACUGGGCGUAAAGCGCACGUAGGCGGACUUUUAAGUUAGAGGUGAAAUCCCAGGGCUCAACCCUGGAACUGCCUUUAAUACUGGGAGUCUUGAGUUCGAGAGAGGUGAGUGGAAUUCCGAGUGUAGAGGUGAAAUUCGUAGAUWUUCGGAGGAACACCAGUGGCGAAGGCGGCUCACUGGCUCGAUACUGACGCUGAGGUGCGAAAGCGGGGGGAGCAAACAGGAUUAGAUACCCUGGUAGUCCACSCCGUAAACGAUGAAUGCCAGACGUCGGAUAGCAUGCUAUUCGGUGUCACACCUAACGGAUUAAGCAUUCCGCCUGGGGAGUACGGUCGCAAGAUUAAAACUCAAAGGAAUUGACGGGGGCCCGCACAAGCGGUGGAGCAUGUGGUUUAAUUCGACGCAACGCGCAGAACCUUACCAACCCUUGACAUACUUAUGCGGUUCCAGAGAUGGAUCCUUCAGUUCGCUGGAUGAGAUACAGGUGCUGCAUGGCUGUCGUCAGCUCGUGUCGUGAGAUGUUCGGUUAAGUCCGGCAACGAGCGCAACCCACAUCCUUAGUUGCCAGCAGUUACUGGGCACUCUAGGGAAACUGCCCGUGAUAAGCGGGAGGAAGAUGUGGAUGACGUCAAGUCCUCAUGGCCCUUACGGGUUGGGCUACACACGUGCUACAAUGGUAGUGACAAUGGGUAAUCCCAAAAAACUAUCUCAGUUCGGAUUGUCGUCUGCAACUCGACGGCAUGAAGUCGGAAUCGCUAGUAAUCGCAGAACAGAUGCUGCGGUGAAUACGUUCCCGGGCCUUGUACACACCGCCCGUCACACCAUGGGAGUUGGUUCUACCCGAAGGUGGUGCGCCAACCUUCGGGGGGCAGCCAACCACGGUAGGAUCAGCGACUGGGGUG
Molecule: ribosomal RNA, 1382 nt
Filed under: uncultured Alphaproteobacteria bacterium
Lineage: Bacteria; Pseudomonadati; Pseudomonadota; Alphaproteobacteria
Description: bacterial SSU rRNA
Rfam family: Bacterial small subunit ribosomal RNA
Source: RNAcentral